RNAcentral lists this ribosomal RNA (503 nucleotides) under uncultured bacterium. RNAcentral's name for it is "bacterial SSU rRNA". It matches the Rfam family "Bacterial small subunit ribosomal RNA", at positions 28 to 518 of the family's 1533-position model. The record is from RNAcentral.
GACGAACGCUGGCGGCGUGGAUUAGGCAUGCAAGUCGAACGGUAGGAUACCUUCGGGUAUCUGAGAGUGGCGAACGGGUGAGUAACACGUAGGUGAUCUACCCUCAAGAUUGGGACAACCCAGGGAAACUUGGGCUAAUACCGGAUGAAAGCAGCAGUGAUGUUGUUUGAAAGGUGGCGUAAGCUGCCGUUUGGGGAUGAGCCUGCGCUCUAUUAGUUAGUUGGCGGGGUAAAGGCCCACCAAGGCGAUGAUAGAUAGGCGGCCUUAACGGGUGGUCGCCCACACUGGGAUUGAGAUACGGGCCCAGGACUCCUACGGGAGGCAGCAGUCGAGAAUAGUCUACAAUGGCCGAAAGGCUGAUAGUGCGACGCCGCGUGAACGAAGAAGCCCUUCGGGGUGUAAAGUUCUUUUAUAUGUGAGCAGUGCUUCUUAUAUUAACAGUAUGGGGAAGAGAUAUUAGCAUAUGAAUAAGCAACGGCUAAACGUCCGUGCCCAGCAGACCC